CAGUAGCCGCGGGAAUACGUAGGGUGCAAGCGUUAAUCGGAAUUACUGGGCGUAAAGCGUGCGCAGGCGGUUUGUUAAGACAGGUGUGAAAUCCCCGGGCUUAACCUGGGCACUGCGCUUGUGACUGCACAGCUAGGGUAUGGCAGAGGGGGGUGGAAUUCCACGUGUAGCAGUGAAAUGCGUAGAGAUGUGGAGGAACACCGAUGGCGAAGGCAGCCCCCUGGGCCAAUACUGACGCUCAUGCACGAAAGCGUGGGGAGCAAACAGGAUUAGAUACCCCAGUAGUCCCUGUCUCUUAUAC
This 301-nucleotide ribosomal RNA is filed under the name uncultured bacterium. Its description in RNAcentral is "partial 16S ribosomal RNA". It matches the Rfam family "Bacterial small subunit ribosomal RNA", at positions 509 to 807 of the family's 1533-position model. The record is from RNAcentral.